Frieseomelitta varia is the source of this 2108-nucleotide long non-coding RNA. RefSeq lists it as uncharacterized. NCBI's taxonomy places the organism in Eukaryota, Metazoa, Arthropoda, Insecta, Hymenoptera, Apidae. The record is from RefSeq and is a predicted model, not a curated record. The transcript has 3 exons.
UAUUGAAAGUGGAAGUAACCUGAGUAAAUAAUAAGUAAGUUUUGAUGAAUCUCAAUCAGUUUAAUUACAAAAUAAUUAAUUUUUGUGGUCGUGAAAAGAUAACAGUGUAAAAGGUAUUCUUUCUAACCUAGAAAAGUUGUUACUUCUGAUUUGAUCCCGUGGUCGGUGUUAAUUUCAAGAGAAAGUGGGGUGAGAUGGUAUUAUUGAAAACGGAAGUGGUGAGCAGAUAGACGCAACCUACAUGGUCGCAUCCACCAGCAAGUGACAAACUUCUACGUUUUAUCAAAUGUCAGCGAACCUGUGUAUCACAGCACAUUACAAAAACAGCGAUAUGUAUUUAUAGUCGAGCGUGAUAAAUAUUUAGUUACUUAUCGAAACAUUGGUCUUCUCGACGCUCUGUCACCGUUCUCUCGUUAUUAUUUCCUGCUCGAUAUUUGGGAAAAAUUUUCACUCGCAGGCUCUCUUCUUUUGUGGAAGCGAGCUGGCCUUUAAAAUUAUCAAGAUAGAAGAGUAUACAUGAGCAUAAAGGUCUGUUCUGCUCUAAUAAUAUCUGUCCUAGUAUUCAAGAUAAAAUCUACAUUUAAAUGCAUACAGAUUUAUACAUAUAUACUCUUGCGAUUCAUGAUCCAAGGAAAUACAAUCAAAAUACAAAAAAAAAGAAAAAAAAGAAAAUAAAAUAUAGGAAUCGCUGUAUAAUUCCCACGUGGAAGAUAUACAUAUAAAUUGCAACAGCGUUCACUGGGUAUGCAUGGCGCAUGACAUUAUUAUACAUUAGCUUCAUGAAACAAUAACACAACAUAUCAGGACAAAUUACUUCCGCCUUUAAAUUAUGAUCACGAUGCUGGUUGUGUUGCAGUUGCGAGAAGCCUGACGUGGCAAUAUUUGAAUUAUAUUGGAUACGCUGUUUUCCAUUACCGUUCUACGGAGGGGCUAAUAAAUCGAUAAAUGAUCCGACGUGCCGAAGCACCGAAACUUGAAGCUGUUUGUAAUAAAUUACAGACGACCAAACAAGUUGGAGAGCCGCACGAGGAGAGAGGAACAUUAGUAAUUUCUCAGUCAAUUGGUAAUUCAUUGCUACUUGCAUUUUGAAGACUUUUAUGGCACCACUUCUAGACCAGAGUUCUACGAGUCCCAACAUUCUCAUUAUCUGACAACGUGUUGGAUUGUCGCAAGUCGAGGAACAACAAUUGUAAUUUUCAGAGUAAGUUUCAUUCUACGCUGCAAUCGUGGCCAAGGAUGGAAAAGAGAGUACCGUUCUAUUCUCAGCAGGUCUUCUUAUAUUUUUGUCUAUGAUCCAAGAGAGUAGCUACUGGAAUUUGUCCUAUAAAUAACUGUUCACAGGUCACUUUAGGGAGACUAUUACUGACUCGAGUGUUAGCACUGCCUGAUUGACAGAUUCAUCCAAGGAAUGAGACACGAACCUAGGGUUCUAAGUUCGAAAGGCAAACUUCAAUAGACUUCAAUUCUCAAUCUUUUCUUUCUUCGAACAUGUGCGAAGUUAAAUUAUUUGGCGUGACAGUUAUACGUGAAGCAACUCGUACGUGAGGUAUACGAUAUUAUGAAAGAAUCCACGCGAUGGAAACCGAUAGAACUUUCCAUCUGAAACGGGGGAGGGGCAUGACGCAUUGUUCGUUAUGGAUGAAACGCUACGGAACGAAAGCCUAAUUAUAUCCGCCCGCUUCACUUUCUCGCCGAAUGCAUAAUCGAUCGGAGUUUGCUUGGUUUCCCAAGCCCACCAACGAUCAGAAGUAUCAUCCAGCGGUUUAUUAGGAAGAAAAUUGGUUCAUCCUCGCGGAAUGCGGUCCCAAGUUUGGCGCCAGCUUGUUUGUUGUAUGUAUGUACAACGACAGGCGAAACCGUUACUUCAAAACCAUUCGCAGAAGUCACGCGUUCUGAAUACGUAAAAGCAAAGUGUGUAGAAUUCAUUCGACCUGGCAGACCUGGUGUCGUGAAGAUAUUUUCAUAUAGAUCAUACUCAAACAGUGCCAGGGUAUUCCCCUGUUGUCGAGGAUCGAGCUGUUCUUUAACCCAGUUCUCCUCACUUUGUUGUUUGUGGCUGUAAUUUCGAAGCUUCAUUUUCGAAUUCAGCUGUCUUCAUCUCAUUUCUU